Molecule: ribosomal RNA, 530 nt
Filed under: uncultured bacterium
Lineage: Bacteria
Description: bacterial SSU rRNA
Rfam family: Bacterial small subunit ribosomal RNA
Source: RNAcentral
AGAGUUUGAUCCUGGCUCAGGACGAACGCUGGCGGCGUGCUUAACACAUGCAAGUCGAACGGAAAGGCCCUUUCGGGGGUGCUCGAGUGGCGAACGGGUGAGUAACACGUGGGUAAUCUGCCCUUGACAUCGGGAUAGCCCGGGGAAACCCGGAUUAAUACCGAAUAGCCUCCGAAGCCCUCGGGCGUCGGAGAAAAGGUAGCUUCGGCCUCUGGUCAAGGAUGAGCCCGCGGCGGAUUAGCUUGUUGGCGGGGUAACGGCCCACCAAGGCGACGAUCCGUAGCUGGUCUGAGAGGACGAUCAGCCACACUGGGACUGAGACACGGCCCAGACUCCUACGGGAGGCAGCAGUGGGGAAUCUUGCGCAAAUGCGGGAAACCGUGACGCAGCGACGCCGCGUGGGGGAAGAAGGCCUUCGGGUUGUAAACCUCUUUCAGGAGGGACGAAGCUACUCGGGUUAAUAGCCCAGAGGGUGACGGUACCUCCAGAAGAAGCCCCGGCUAACUACGUGCCAGCCGCCGCGGUAAUAC